GAAAUGCGAUAAGUAGUGUGAAUUGCAGAAUUCAGUGAAUCAUCGAAUCUUUGAACGCACAUUGCGCCCUUUGGUAUUCCUUAGGGCAUGCCUGUUCGAGCGUCAUCUAAACCUUCAAGCCCUGCUUGGUGUUGGGUGCCUGUCCCGCCUCCGCGCGCGGACUCACCUCAAAUCCAUUGGCGGCCCCCGCGUCGGCCACGAGCGCAGCAGAAACGCGAACUCGUGAGCCCGUCCGGGCGGCUCCCAGAAGCUACACCCACCCAGUUUGACCUCGGAUCAGGUGGGGAUACCCGCUGAACUUAAGC
This 305-nucleotide unclassified non-coding RNA is filed under the name plant metagenome. RNAcentral's name for it is "partial contains 5.8S ribosomal RNA, internal transcribed spacer 2, and large subunit ribosomal RNA". The stretch from base 1 to 105 matches the Rfam family "5.8S ribosomal RNA", at positions 50 to 154 of the family's 154-position model. The record is from RNAcentral.